RNAcentral lists this ribosomal RNA (440 nucleotides) under uncultured bacterium. RNAcentral describes it as "partial 16S ribosomal RNA". It matches the Rfam family "Bacterial small subunit ribosomal RNA", at positions 338 to 795 of the family's 1533-position model. The record is from RNAcentral.
CCUACGGGAGGCAGCAGUGGGGAAUAUUGCACAAUGGGGGGAACCUUGAUGCAGCAACGCCGCGUGGGUGAAGAAGUACUCCGGUAUGUAAAGCCCUGUCAGCAGGGAAGAAAAUGACGGUACCUGACCAAGAAGCCCCGUCUAACUACGUGCCAGCAGCCGCGGUAAUACGUAGGGGGCAAGCGUUAUCCGGAUUUACUGGGUGUAAAGGGAGCGUAGGCGGCAAGGCAAGUCUGGAGGGAAAGCCCGUGGGCCAACCACGGGACUGCUUUGGAAACUGUGUUGCUGGAGUGCAGGAGGGGUAAGCGGAAUUCCUGGUGUAGCGGUGAAAUGCGUAGAUAUUAGGAGGAACACCGGUGGCGAAGGCAGCUUACUGGACUGUAACUGACACUGAGGCUCGAAAGUGUGGGUAUCAAACAGGAUUAGAUACCCUGGUAGUC